CCCUCCAUUGUAAUCCUUAAUUGGNGUUGUAAAUGGUUUAUUCUAUUUAUUAUAUUUAUAGAGAAUAUUAUAUUCGUUAUUAAUAGAAUAGAAUAAUGUACUUGAGUAGAGCUGCUUGGUAGUGCAGUUUGAAUAAAGGUAGAAUGAAAUAUCUAAGGUUAAAUAUAAUGGUAUACCGAUAGAAAAUAAGUACUGCGAAGGAACUUGUGAAAAUGUGUGGAGUUUAGCCUNA
This 232-nucleotide ribosomal RNA is filed under the name Vairimorpha sp. The record is from RNAcentral. Lineage: Eukaryota; Fungi; Microsporidia; Nosematidae.